This 112-nucleotide ribosomal RNA is filed under the name Acanthosepion pharaonis. The record is from RNAcentral. Lineage: Eukaryota; Metazoa; Mollusca; Cephalopoda; Sepiida; Sepiidae.
UUACGGUCAAAUCACGCUGAAAACACCGGUUCUCGUUCGAUCACCAGUUAAGCAUCGUAGAGCCAGGUCAGUACUUAGAUGGGGACCGCUUGGGAACACCUGGUACUGUAAG